GAUGAACGCUGGCGGCGUGCUUAACACAUGCAAGUCGAACGGUGAGCACGGAGCUUGCUCUGUGGGAUCAGUGGCGAACGGGUGAGUAACACGUGAGCAACCUGCCCCUGACUCUGGGAUAAGCGCUGGAAACGGCGUCUAAUACUGGAUACGAGUAGCGGCCGCAUGGUCAGUUACUGGAAAGAUUUUUUGGUUGGGGAUGGGCGCGCGGCCUAUCAGCUUGUUGGUGAGGUAAUGGCUCCCCAAGGCGUCGACGGGUAGCCGGCCUGAGAGGGGGACCGGCCAAACUGGGACUGAGACACGGCCCAGACUCCUACGGGAGGCAGCAGUGGGGAAUAUUGCACAAUGGGCGAAAGCCUGAUGCAGCAACGCCGCGUGAGGGAUGACGGCCUUCGGGUUGUAAACCUCUUUUAGCAGGGAAGAAGCGAAAGUGACGGUACCUGCAGAAAAAGCGCCGGCUAACUACGUGCCAGCAGCCGCCGUAA
RNAcentral lists this ribosomal RNA (485 nucleotides) under uncultured bacterium. Its description in RNAcentral is "partial 16S ribosomal RNA". It matches the Rfam family "Bacterial small subunit ribosomal RNA", at positions 28 to 523 of the family's 1533-position model. The record is from RNAcentral.